This is a long non-coding RNA of Entelurus aequoreus (snake pipefish), 1270 nucleotides long. RefSeq lists it as uncharacterized. NCBI's taxonomy places the organism in Eukaryota, Metazoa, Chordata, Actinopteri, Syngnathiformes, Syngnathidae. The record is from RefSeq and is a predicted model, not a curated record. The transcript is spliced from 3 exons.
UCAGUGGUUUCAUACUUGAUAUGCAUUUUCAGUGUUCAAAGAAGAAGAAUAAACUGGCCGGAAUGCUACUGCAGUUAAACGCCUUCCUUUUUAGGGCUCUUUUCCAGUGGUUCGGAGAGGAUGCAAAGCUGUAAGAGGGUGAUUUUUAAUGAUCGGAAGCGCUGUUUCCACUAAGGAGUACAGUUAAGUUCAAAUACCACAGGAUGCAAAGGGGUACCGAACCACUUUUUAGUACCCAGUGCAUGGUAAGGGUACCGAAAGAGGUGGAGAUUCACUUCAGCCACACAAAAUGCUGUUUCCUCGAGUUGUUGUCCUUUUGCUUUAUCGUGGAAACACAAACCAGAACAGUACCGUAACAAACUAUACCACAGUUGAGGACAAUAAAAACUUGACACUUUCAGUUCUCUUCUUUUUAGGUGGUGGACUUCCUUUCCCACUCCUGUAAUGACCAAAAGGAAAUAACAUUUAUAUACAGAAAAAUACAGCAAUGUUAUUGUUGUGAACAGUAAGUCUCACUUUGGCUUUCUGAAGCACUUUGCCCUUAGUGGCCAUGAUGGAAACUGGCCUGUUUUUUAGUGCAGAGGCUGAAUUGACAGGAGAUUCUGAGUCCACACUGGUGGUGGUGGGGCUGCCGGACGGUUGGGAUGGUGAGGAUGCUGGCGAUAAUGACAUUUGUGCAGGUGGCAUGCUCACGGUUUUAGCCUAAGAGAAGGAAUGGAAGGUUAUGUAAGUCAUUGUUUUUGUAUUCGAGCCUUUUUUCAUCAGGCUGAUGAUGGCUGACCGUGUCCUGGAGGCUGCAGUCCAGUGUGGUCCCCAGUGUGAACGGCCCGGCCUCCACCUUCUUCAGGUUCUCCUUUACCUCCACAAGCACCAGCUCUACCUCCACACGCCUGUGUUCUGCUUCUCGACUCGCUUCCUCCACCUGCUUCAGCCGAGCUUCCAGCUGGCGAGGCUGCUCCUCUCCUCCUCGCGCUCUCUCUCCAGACGGUCACGUUCGUCAAUGUAGCGCCGCAAGUCAGCCUCCGUGCGGUUUUUUCCUAGCUUCCCUUCAACGGUGCCAGGACAGGCUGAAAAUUCGUCAACACCCACCCAAAAGUAGAGGACAACACAUCAGACGUGUUGUUCUUCCUAGGAACAUAGUGACCACACCUCGCACGACGUAAGUAAAGCGCUCAUCUGGGUCAAAUAUACAUUUUCGACCUACGUCAGCUUGUAUAUCACCGACGCCCACCCAUCACUUGUGGUUUGUGUUACAGACAUUUUAAUAAAA